RNA transcript from Cephus cinctus (wheat stem sawfly), 665 nucleotides. RefSeq lists it as uncharacterized. Lineage: Eukaryota; Metazoa; Arthropoda; Insecta; Hymenoptera; Cephidae. The transcript has 3 exons. The record is from RefSeq and is a predicted model, not a curated record.
UCAGGUGAAAUCGAAAUUUGACAACUGGAUAAAUUUUGAAAUGCCAAUUAGAAUUUUUGGGCUAUGGAUAGCAGCCAAUUGAACUGAUAUGAAUAGUACUGACUUGUUACUCGUCAGUUCAGUUACUCGAUAAUUUCGGAAAAAUUCAUUGAGAACAAAUUCGGUGUACAAUAUUUUUAUUGAUUUAUAUUUAUUAAAGUCAUGGUGGCACUACGGUCGGGAAGAAAAGGUAAUGGGAUGUAUACGACUAGUGCACUGCAACAAGGUGUGAAAAGAUUAUCAGGUUACAAUUAUGGAAUUAUGAAAAAACGUCGUUACGAUCAUCCUUACGCAACGCGAUCCAAGACUUGUACGAGUUUAGAAUUUCCGGUUAACAAAAACAAGAUGAAGCUGCACAGAGAAUCAUCGGGUACGAGUGUUAUAUUUCUUGGGUAUUAUCGCAAAAUACCAGAACUGAUAACACUGGAUGAUAGCACUACGGGGGUGAAGUCUGAUCAAGUAGAGGAAUAAUUGUGAGAUAAUAAAAGCUUUUCCUCUCUUCAUGGCGUCCAGCUCACGAGACAGGAAGUCUUUAACGUGAGGUCGUUCCUCCAGUGAUGCCAAUUUCGAACGGUCUGCAUUGGUGAGGGGAGUCGCUUUCACUCCCAGUGCAACCAACUCUGAGG